Molecule: ribosomal RNA, 116 nt
Filed under: Gadus morhua (Atlantic cod)
Lineage: Eukaryota; Metazoa; Chordata; Actinopteri; Gadiformes; Gadidae
Source: RNAcentral
AAAUACAGCCAUUCCAUGCUGAACACGCCCGAUCUCGUCUGAUCUCUGAAGCUAAGCACUGUCGGGCCUGGCUACUUGGAUGGGAAACCGCCUGCCAAUACCAGGUGCUGUAAGGG